UCAGGCCUAACACAUGCAAGUCGAACGGCAGCACGGGUGCUUGCACCUGGUGGCGAGUGGCGAACGGGUGAGUAAUAUAUCGGAACGUACCUUAUUGUGGGGGAUAACGCAGCGAAAGCUGUGCUAAUACCGCAUAAUCCCUAAGGGGGAAAGCGGGGGACCGUAAGGCCUCGCGCAAUUAGAGCGGCCGAUACCUGAUUAGCUAGUUGGUGAGGUAAAGGCUCACCAAGGCAACGAUCAGUAGCUGGUCUGAGAGGACGAUCAGCCACACUGGGACUGAGACACGGCCCAGACUCCUACGGGAGGCAGCAGUGGGGAAUUUUGGACAAUGGGGGCAACCCUGAUCC
Molecule: ribosomal RNA, 347 nt
Filed under: uncultured bacterium
Lineage: Bacteria
Description: bacterial SSU rRNA
Rfam family: Bacterial small subunit ribosomal RNA
Source: RNAcentral